Non-coding RNA from Danionella cerebrum, 92 nucleotides. NCBI's taxonomy places the organism in Eukaryota, Metazoa, Chordata, Actinopteri, Cypriniformes, Danionidae. The record is from the annotation of a GenBank genome assembly.
GCUUUCAUGUGGCUCAGUUGGGUAUAGAGCAUAAAGUAUAGAGCAUUGCGCUAACAACGCAAAGGUUAUGGGUUCAAAUCCUAGGGAAAGCU